GAAGAGAAAUUUUUUAAACCCACACCCAGCCGAUUCAACCGGUUCACCGGGUCACGGGUUAAUGGUGAGUUUUUGUGGUUUUUUUUGGUUUUGAACUUGUCGGGUUUUAGCACUAAACCCUAACCGGAAAAGUAUUCGGGUCACGGUUCAACCGGUCGGACCGAACGGUUCGGGUCGGGCAUGAAAACACUGCUUAUGAGCCUUCUGAUGGAGAUACAGCUCACAUACCUGGCACAAGUGUACGUACAUUUUUGUCACUAUGUUCUGUGUACAUAUAUAUUGUUUCAUACAUUACUAAAAAGUUGCUUUCCGAUGAUAAAUUCUACAGGUUGAGGCGGCAGGAGAAUCCAAAUUAGUGACAGGGAUGGAAGUUGAAAUACCUGAGAAGACCCACAGUGAUCCCCCGUCACCAUUUCAAGUAGUUAACAAUGUAAGCUAACUCUUGCAA
RNAcentral lists this small RNA (448 nucleotides) under Arabidopsis thaliana (thale cress). RNAcentral describes it as "ATSL278460". Lineage: Eukaryota; Viridiplantae; Streptophyta; Magnoliopsida; Brassicales; Brassicaceae. The record is from RNAcentral.